Molecule: long non-coding RNA, 780 nt
Filed under: Homo sapiens (human)
Lineage: Eukaryota; Metazoa; Chordata; Mammalia; Primates; Hominidae
Description: HSALNT0023084
Source: RNAcentral
CUGAUCUGCAGGCUGGAGCCCCUGGUCUGGAGCAAGCUGAAUACAGAUGAUUGAAGCAUGAGACGCAUGUUCGAGAAGCCAUGAUUAUUUCUGUCCUUGUUCAGCUGUUCAAGCUCCAGAACAAUUGUUGCAUAUCUCCGCUGAAAUUCAAUGCUGAUGGGCAUGGAAUAUGAUUUCUGAGAAGAGAAAAAAAUCAGAUCUUGUUAUCUCAGAAGAGGAUAUAUUAAUAGGAACUUCCAAAACUAAAAAACAAAGAGAACAAAGACUGAAAAAAUCAGCACAGAAUGUCCAAGGAUUGUGGGACAACUACAAAAGACGGAGUCUCGCUCUGUUGCCACUUGUGAUCUCGGCUCACUGCAAUCUCUGACUCCUGGGUUCAAGCGAUUCUCCUGCCUCAGCCUCCCGAGCAGCUGGGAUUACAGGCGCGCGCCACCACGCCCAGCUAAUUUUUGUAUUUUUAGCAGAGACGGCGUUUCACCAUGUUGAUCAGGUUGGUCUCGAACUCCUGACCUCGUGAUCCGCCUGCCUCAGCCUCCCAAAGUGCUGGGAUUACAGGCGUGAGCCACUGCGCCCGGCCAGGAAGUAUCUUAUUUUUAGAAAAAGAGAAAAUUCUGUUAUAAUUAAUAUUAUAUUAAAAUCCAAUAAAAAGGAAAUUAUUUCUGGAGAUGAAGCAACUAUUUAUUUUAUUUAAUAUUUUCAAUUCAAAAUAGUGUGCAUACUUUGAAGUUGCUGUAAUAGAUGUGUAUUUCUUAAGAACAUAGUUCACCUUCAUAAAAAUCA